Molecule: ribosomal RNA, 1399 nt
Filed under: Clavibacter michiganensis subsp. michiganensis
Lineage: Bacteria; Bacillati; Actinomycetota; Actinomycetes; Micrococcales; Microbacteriaceae
Description: bacterial SSU rRNA
Rfam family: Bacterial small subunit ribosomal RNA
Source: RNAcentral
GCUACCAUGCAGUCGAACGGUGAUGUCAGAGCUUGCUCUGGCGGAUCAGUGGCGAACGGGUGAGUAACACGUGAGUAACCUGCCCCCGACUCUGGGAUAACUGCUAGAAAUGGUAGCUAAUACCGGAUAUGACGAUUGGCCGCAUGGUCUGGUCGUGGAAAGAAUUUCGGUUGGGGAUGGACUCGCGGCCUAUCAGGUUGUUGGUGAGGUAAUGGCUCACCAAGCCUACGACGGGUAGCCGGCCUGAGAGGGUGACCGGCCACACUGGGACUGAGACACGGCCCAGACUCCUACGGGAGGCAGCAGUGGGGAAUAUUGCACAAUGGGCGAAAGCCUGAUGCAGCAACGCCGCGUGAGGGAUGACGGCCUUCGGGUUGUAAACCUCUUUUAGUAGGGAAGAAGCGAAAGUGACGGUACCUGCAGAAAAAGCACCGGCUAACUACGUGCCAGCAGCCGCGGUAAUACGUAGGGUGCAAGCGUUGUCCGGAAUUAUUGGGCGUAAAGAGCUCGUAGGCGGUUUGUCGCGUCUGCUGUGAAAUCCCGAGGCUCAACCUCGGGUCUGCAGUGGGUACGGGCAGACUAGAGUGCGGUAGGGGAGAUUGGAAUUCCUGGUGUAGCGGUGGAAUGCGCAGAUAUCAGGAGGAACACCGAUGGCGAAGGCAGAUCUCUGGGCCGUAACUGACGCUGAGGAGCGAAAGCAUGGGGAGCGAACAGGAUUAGAUACCCUGGUAGUCCAUGCCGUAAACGUUGGGAACUAGAUGUGGGGACCAUUCCACGGUCUCCGUGUCGCAGCUAACGCAUUAAGUUCCCCGCCUGGGGAGUACGGCCGCAAGGCUAAAACUCAAAGGAAUUGACGGGGGCCCGCACAAGCGGCGGAGCAUGCGGAUUAAUUCGAUGCAACGCGAAGAACCUUACCAAGGCUUGACAUAUACCGGAAACAUGCAGAAAUGUGUGCCCCGCAAGGUCGGUAUACAGGUGGUGCAUGGUUGUCGUCAGCUCGUGUCGUGAGAUGUUGGGUUAAGUCCCGCAACGAGCGCAACCCUCGUUCUAUGUUGCCAGCACGUAAUGGUGGGAACUCAUAGGAGACUGCCGGGGUCAACUCGGAGGAAGGUGGGGAUGACGUCAAAUCAUCAUGCCCCUUAUGUCUUGGGCUUCACGCAUGCUACAAUGGCCGGUACAAAGGGCUGCGAUACCGUAAGGUGGAGCGAAUCCCAAAAAGCCGGUCUCAGUUCGGAUUGAGGUCUGCAACUCGACCUCAUGAAGUCGGAGUCGCUAGUAAUCGCAGAUCAGCAACGCUGCGGUGAAUACGUUCCCGGGCCUUGUACACACCGCCCGUCAAGUCAUGAAAGUCGGUAACACCCGAAGCCAGUGGCCUAACCGCAAGGGAGGAGCUGUCGAA